This 265-nucleotide ribosomal RNA is filed under the name uncultured bacterium. RNAcentral describes it as "partial 16S ribosomal RNA". It matches the Rfam family "Bacterial small subunit ribosomal RNA", at positions 793 to 1055 of the family's 1533-position model. The record is from RNAcentral.
GUCCACGCCGUAAACGAUGGGCACUAGGUCCUUGGGGGAGCGACCCCUUGAGGGCCGGCGCUAACGCAUUAAGUGCCCCGCCUGGGGAGUACGGCCGUAAGGCUGAAACUCAAAGGAAUUGACGGGGGCCCGCACAAGCGGUGGAGCAUGUGGUUUAAUUCGACGCAACGCGAAGAACCUUACCUGGGCUUGACAUGCACGGGAACUCGUGGGGAAACCCGCGGGGCUCUUCGGAGCUCGUGCACAGGUGCUGCAUGGCUGUCGU